UACGUAGGGUGCGAGCGUUAAUCGGAAUUACUGGGCGUAAAGCGUGCGCAGGCGGUCCGCAAAGUCUGAUGUGAAAGCCCCGGGCUCAACCUGGGAACUGCAUUGGAAACUAACGGGCUCGAGUGUGGCAGAGGGGGGUGGAAUUCCACGUGUAGCAGUGAAAUGCGUAGAUAUGUGGAGGAACACCGAUGGCGAAGGCAGCCCCCUGGGAUGUGACUGACGCUCAUGUACGAAAGCGUGGGGAGCAAACAGG
This 253-nucleotide ribosomal RNA is filed under the name uncultured bacterium. RNAcentral's name for it is "partial 16S ribosomal RNA". It matches the Rfam family "Bacterial small subunit ribosomal RNA", at positions 524 to 776 of the family's 1533-position model. The record is from RNAcentral.